GGGGUUAAAUCAAAAUAGGCCGACUAAGUAUGUAGAUCCAGUUGUAGAGGGCUUUCGGACGCGGGUUCGAUUCCCGCCGCCUCCACCA
Molecule: transfer RNA, 88 nt
Filed under: Niveibacterium umoris
Lineage: Bacteria; Pseudomonadati; Pseudomonadota; Betaproteobacteria; Rhodocyclales; Rhodocyclaceae
Description: tRNA-OTHER
Rfam family: transfer-messenger RNA
About the family: Bacterial tmRNA, also known as 10Sa RNA or SsrA, is named for its dual tRNA and mRNA-like properties.
Source: RNAcentral